CCUAAUACAUGCAAGUCGAACGAGUUCUGAUUAUUGAAAGGUGCUUGCAUCUUGAUUUUAAUUUUGAACGAGUGGCGGACGGGUGAGUAACACGUGGGUAACCUGCCCUUAAGUGGGGGAUAACAUUUGGAAACAGAUGCUAAUACCGCAUAAAUCCAAGAACCGCAUGGUUCUUGGCUGAAAGAUGGCGUAAGCUAUCGCUUUUGGAUGGACCCGCGGCGUAUUAGCUAGUUGGUGAGGUAACGGCUCACCAAGGCAAUGAUACGUAGCCGAACUGAGAGGUUGAUCGGCCACAUUGGGACUGAGACACGGCCCAAACUCCUACGGGAGGCAGCAGUAGGGAAUCUUCCACAAUGGACGCAAGUCUGAUGGAGCAACGCCGCGUGAGUGAAGAAGGCUUUCGGGUCGUAAAACUCUGUUGUUGGAGAAGAAUGGUCGGCAGAGUAACUGUUGUCGGCGUGACGGUAUCCAACCAGAAAGCCACGGCUAACUACGUGCCAGCAGCCGCGGUAAUACGUAGGUGGCAAGCGUUAUCCGGAUUUAUUGGGCGUAAAGCGAGCGCAGGCGGUUUUUUAAGUCUGAUGUGAAAGCCCUCGGCUUAACCGAGGAAGUGCAUCGGAAACUGGGAAACUUGAGUGCAGAAGAGGACAGUGGAACUCCAUGUGUAGCGGUGAAAUGCGUAGAUAUAUGGAAGA
RNAcentral lists this ribosomal RNA (695 nucleotides) under uncultured organism. Its description in RNAcentral is "SSU rRNA". It matches the Rfam family "Bacterial small subunit ribosomal RNA", at positions 47 to 705 of the family's 1533-position model. The record is from RNAcentral.